Molecule: ribosomal RNA, 253 nt
Filed under: uncultured bacterium
Lineage: Bacteria
Description: partial 16S ribosomal RNA
Rfam family: Bacterial small subunit ribosomal RNA
Source: RNAcentral
UACGUAGGGGGCAAGCGUUGUCCGGACUUACUGGGCGUAAAGCGUGUGCAGGCGGGCCGCUAUGUGCCGUGUGAAAGCUCUCAGCUUAUCUGGGAGAGGUCGCGGUAGACAGGCAGCCUGGAGGCUCGGAGAGGUCAGUGGAAUUCCCGGUGUAGCAGUGAAAUGCGUAGAUAUCAGGAGGAAUACCGAUGGCGAAGGCAGGUCUCUGGGCUGACACUGACGCUCAUGCACGAAAGCGUGGGGAGCAAACAGG